UUUUAUAAUAAAAAUGAUGGUAUCAAUCACCGAACAAAUAAUACAAACACAAUCACACAGAUAUUGAUGGGAUAUCCAUGCACAAUCCAAAUCAUGUUUUUUUAAUAAAAUCCAAAUAUGAUUCACUACAUCAUUAAUCUCAUAUUUACACCUUCAUGGCUAAAUGAUUGGGGAGACAAAACAAUAAUAAUUAAGACUAAUAACAUUGGUAAACUAUAUAUAUAUAUAUAUAUAUAUAUAUAUAUAUAAGAAACAUAAACAACAAAAUAUAUAUAUGAAGAAAUUUGGUAAUUGUUUGAAUUUUGGUACUUUGAUUUUCUUUGCAAUUCUUACCUAUUUGAAAUAGGAUUUGGACCGCUAGGAACUUCAUGAGCACUAGCAUUGACAGCCCGCUCUUGCCACGGCGACCGGUUUGCCGGCCCUUCCCGUCGACCUCCAGUGGCCGGAAUAUUUUGGACAUAAGUAGUUUCUUGUUUGUUGAUACUGCCGGAGUUUCUUUGUGGGGUUAGAGGUAGUAAGUUUUGUUCUUGGUGGGCCAUUAUAGUUAGAAGGAAGAAAAUGAAGAAGAAGAAGAAGAAGAAGAGGGGUUUUGAAGGAAAAAUGAAGGUGAAGGUCAUUUUAUUGUAAGUGGCAAUGCCAUUCUCCAUAGCCAUAAAAUUACAUGAAGUUCAAGAUUCAUCCACUAUAAGGAGAGAGAGAGAGAAUCUUGAAAGAUAAACUAAGGGAAAUUGCUCGGGAAGGAGAGGUUGGGGUUGUUUUUGAAAUGUAUUGUUUUUUUCAUGUGUGGAUGGUUUUGAAAGUAGGAAAAAACAUAAUAACAAAUAUGUAUGAGAAAGAGAGGAUAUAUAUAUAUAUAUAUAUAUAUAUAUAUAUAUAUAUAUAUAUAUAGAAAUGAUC
This 897-nucleotide long non-coding RNA is filed under the name Panax ginseng (ginseng). RNAcentral's name for it is "long non-coding RNA (PGIN_LNC012053)". The record is from RNAcentral. Lineage: Eukaryota; Viridiplantae; Streptophyta; Magnoliopsida; Apiales; Araliaceae.